UUGCUCCCGCAGCAUAUGUACUAAAACUGGAGUGAUAAAGAGAAGAUCAGCAUGACUCCUGAAGAAAGAUAGCUGGCAAAUUCAUGAAGUGUUCCUUAUUUUG
This is a small nuclear RNA of Hyaena hyaena (striped hyena), 103 nucleotides long. The record is from RefSeq and is a predicted model, not a curated record. NCBI's taxonomy places the organism in Eukaryota, Metazoa, Chordata, Mammalia, Carnivora, Hyaenidae.